RNAcentral lists this ribosomal RNA (452 nucleotides) under uncultured organism. Its description in RNAcentral is "partial 16S ribosomal RNA". It matches the Rfam family "Bacterial small subunit ribosomal RNA", at positions 330 to 798 of the family's 1533-position model. The record is from RNAcentral.
CGUACACUCCUGCGGGAGGCAGCAGUGGGGAAUAUUGGACAAUGGGCGCAAGCCUGAUCCAGCCAUGCCGCGUGAGUGAUGAAGGCCCUAGGGUUGUAAAGCUCUUUCACCGGUGAAGAUAAUGACGGUAACCGGAGAAGAAGCCCCGGCUAACUUCGUGCCAGCAGCCGCGGUAAUACGAAGGGGGCUAGCGUUGUUCGGAUUUACUGGGCGUAAAGCGCACGUAGGCGGACUAUUAAGUCAGGGGUGAAAUCCCGGGGCUCAACCCCGGAACUGCCUUUGAUACUGGUAGUCUUGAGUUCGAGAGAGGUGAGUGGAAUUCCGAGUGUAGAGGUGAAAUUCGUAGAUAUUCGGAGGAACACCAGUGGCGAAGGCGGCUCACUGGCUCGAUACUGACGCUGAGGUGCGAAAGCGUGGGGAGCAAACAGGAUUAGAAACCCCGGUAGUCCCAU